This is a long non-coding RNA of Fukomys damarensis (Damara mole-rat), 1590 nucleotides long. RefSeq lists it as uncharacterized. The transcript is spliced from 3 exons. Lineage: Eukaryota; Metazoa; Chordata; Mammalia; Rodentia; Bathyergidae. The record is from RefSeq and is a predicted model, not a curated record.
CCCGCGCACGCGCAUACACAUAGCACGCGGGGACACUCUGUGUAAACAUGGAUCCUCUGACAGCGCAGAACGUGCACUUCUUAGGACUCCGCUGUCCGGGGGAUUCACGCUCACUAGCAGUGGGCCGCUGGGGAUUGACAGAGGGCGCUUGGGCGGCUUCCCACAACUCCCAGGUCCUGAUGGCAAAGAAGCUUUGGUGCCAAUGAUCACCCCGGAGUUCUCCUGCUGAGAAGGUUAUGCUGAACAGUGCCCCGAUGCCCUUUCUGUCUCCGGGAUUAUCCGCGAGGUGGAUUUAAAUCCGGUGCCUGCGCGGUGGACUCUAUCCGCGGACUGGAGACGGCAGAUUCUGUCCAGCCUGCCUGCUACAGCUGCGGCUCUCUGCACACCUCUCCCCGACGGUCCCCAAACUGCUCUGGCUCUGCCUUGCGCUUCCACGCGUGCCCUCCUUCGGCGCCCGUCCCGCCGCCCAGCCACACACCUGCAGUCCCCGCCGGGCGCCGAGCCCCUCUCCAGCGGCGAGUCCCGGCAAUUCAGGUGAGGAUGGGGACGCUGUGCCUUGGCUGGAGCCCCGCAGCGAGUCGCAGCAUCUGCCCAGCCUCCACAGCGCCGGAGGGCUUGGGGCGGGGCUUGACCGGGGGCGGGGCCAGCUGCCUAGCCGGCCUCUCGCGCCACCUGCUGGCCAGGCUGGGUCAGCCAGGUGCCAUCCUGGCCCCCGGCCUUUUACGACUCACCGUCCGGAACCUGCGGAGCCUCUGAGGAACAUCUCCCGGCUCCGAGCCCGCCUGCUCUCGGGAGGUACAGGCCCUGCCGGUGUUUGUUGGUAGCCAAAGGACGCCAGCGCUGAGCAGCACGACCCCCCAGAAACAACAUGGCAGGCCUCCUUACACCAAGAGUUGCAGUGAUUCGUCAGGGAACGCUAGAAGACACUGCACUUCCCAGUGCCUCAGUUUCCUCAUUUACAAAGUGAGAAUAAAAGGGCUUGCUACAGCAAAGGCAACCCCUGCAAUGAAAAACUAGCACUUUUAUUCUACGGUUGAGAAUGGGCAAGUCUGAAAUCACCACUUCCACUAUUGAAUGGGACUCUGUCACAAUAUCUGUUCCAGGCAUCCAAAACCCGCCACGGGGCUUAUACGUCGUUGGUGAAAGCCGCAGCCCUACCUGAGGCUUUGAGAGAUGCCAACACCAAUGACUUUUCUUUUCCUGAGUCCCUAAAUACCAAGAAAAAGCAGCUUCCUCAAAUGGACAGAGAAACAGAAAGUACCCUUGGGUGAGCUCAGAGGACUAGUUCCUGCCUGUAGUGAGACAUGGGAAAGGCUCAGUGCCCAUCAUCUUCCACUUCUCCAUCCACCAUUCCCAACUGCACACCCCAGGUGGCUGUGGAAGGGCCCUCCUAACAUCCCACAAAUGGGUGAGGGGACAUGGUCUCUGGUUUCUGUCUUCCCAGGCCCUACUUUAUCCACACCAAAAAAAAAAAAAAAAAAAAAAAAAAUGGUGGCAUUUGGAGGAAGAGAAGGAGAUAGAAGGUGGAAGCAGCCCAGAGGUGGCCAGGGUAGGAAGUAAAGGGUAGAAUCAGCUUUAGAAUCAGCAGGU